RNAcentral lists this ribosomal RNA (300 nucleotides) under uncultured Thermodiscus sp. RNAcentral's name for it is "partial 16S ribosomal RNA". It matches the Rfam family "Bacterial small subunit ribosomal RNA", at positions 497 to 795 of the family's 1533-position model. Lineage: Archaea; Thermoproteati; Thermoproteota; Thermoprotei; Acidilobales; Acidilobaceae. The record is from RNAcentral.
GAAACGACGGUAUAGCAGACGCUGUAAGACGGAGAGGGGGAGCGUUGUCCGGAUAUAGUGGGCGGAAAGAGCUCGUAGGCGGUUAGCUAAGUCAGAUGUGAAAACGGAGGGCCCAAUCCGGAGCCUGCAUUUGAGACUGGUUUGAAGUGAGUCAAGUAGGGGAGUGUGGAAUUCCCAGUGUAGCGGUGAAAUGCGCAGAUAUUGGGAGGAACACCAGCAGCGAAGGCGGCACUCUGGGCUUGUACUGACGCUGAGGAGCGAAAGCAGGGGUAGCAAACAGGAUUAGAUACCCCAGUAGUC